Molecule: ribosomal RNA, 274 nt
Filed under: uncultured bacterium
Lineage: Bacteria
Description: partial 16S ribosomal RNA
Rfam family: Bacterial small subunit ribosomal RNA
Source: RNAcentral
AUACGGAGGGUGCGAGCGUUAAUCGGAAUUACUGGGCGUAAAGGGUCCGUAGGCGGCUUGAUAAGUCGGAUGUGAAAGCCCCGGGCUUAACCUGGGAAUUGCAUUCGAUACUGUCAGGCUAGAGUAUGUCAGAGGUUGGCGGAAUUCCUGGUGUAGCGGUGAAAUGCGUAGAUAUCAGGAGGAACACCAGUGGCGAAGGCGGCUAACUGGGGCAAUACUGACGCUGAGGCACGAAAGCGUGGGGAGCAAACAGGAUUAGAUACCCUAGUAGUCC